ACACUCCUACGGGAGGCAGCAGUGGGGAAUUUUGGACAAUGGGCGCAAGCCUGAUCCAGCCAUGCCGCGUGCGGGAAGAAGGCCUUCGGGUUGUAAACCGCUUUUGUCAGGGAAGAAAAGGUUCUGGCUAAUACCUGGGACUCAUGACGGUACCUGAAGAAUAAGCACCGGCUAACUACGUGCCAGCAGCCGCGGUAAUACGUAGGGUGCAAGCGUUAAUCGGAAUUACUGGGCGUAAAGCGUGCGCAGGCGGUUAUGCAAGACAGAGGUGAAAUCCCCGGGCUCAACCUGGGAACUGCCUUUGUGACUGCAUGGCUAGAGUACGGUAGAGGGGGAUGGAAUUCCGCGUGUAGCAGUGAAAUGCGUAGAUAUGCGGAGGAACACCGAUGGCGAAGGCAAUCCCCUGGACCUGUACUGACGCUCAUGCACGAAAGCGUGGGGAGCAAACAGGAUUAGAUACCCCGGUAGUCCCAUGA
RNAcentral lists this ribosomal RNA (476 nucleotides) under uncultured organism. RNAcentral describes it as "partial 16S ribosomal RNA". It matches the Rfam family "Bacterial small subunit ribosomal RNA", at positions 333 to 800 of the family's 1533-position model. The record is from RNAcentral.